This 566-nucleotide ribosomal RNA is filed under the name uncultured archaeon. RNAcentral's name for it is "bacterial SSU rRNA". It matches the Rfam family "Archaeal small subunit ribosomal RNA", at positions 312 to 879 of the family's 1478-position model. The record is from RNAcentral.
CGCGAAUUGCCCUUCGGGGUGCCCAGGCGCGAAAACUUUACAAUGCUGGCAACAGCGAUAAGGGGACCUUGAGUGCCAGGAUACAAUCCUGGCUGUCGUGAUGCCUAAAAAGCAUUAUAUAGCAAGGGCCGGGCAAGACCGGUGCCAGCCGCCGCGGUAACACCGGCGGCUCGAGUGGUAACCGCUAUUAUUGGGUCUAAAGGGUCUGUAGCCGGCUUGGUUAGUCUCUUGGGAAAUCCGGCAGCUUAACUGUCGGGCUUUCAGGAGAUACUGCCAGGCUCGAGACCGGGAGAGGUGAGAGGUACUUCAUGGGUAGGGGUGAAAUCUUGUAAUCCUUGAAGGACCACCAGUGGCGAAGGCGUCUCACCAGAACGGAUCUGACGGCAAGGGACGAAAGCUAGGGGCACGAACCGGAUUAGAUACCCGGGUAGUCCUAGCCGUAAACGAUACUCGCUAGGUGUCGGCCACGGUGCGACCGUGGUCGGUGCCGUAGGGAAGCCGUGAAGCGAGCCACCUGGGAAGUACGGCCGCAAGGCUGAAACUUAAAGGAAUUGGCGGGGGAGCAC